RNAcentral lists this transfer RNA (106 nucleotides) under Hippoglossus stenolepis (Pacific halibut). RNAcentral's name for it is "tRNA-Glu". Lineage: Eukaryota; Metazoa; Chordata; Actinopteri; Pleuronectiformes; Pleuronectidae. The record is from RNAcentral.
UCCCUGAUGGUCUAGUGGCUAGGAUUCGGCGCUCUCACAAUAUCAAUAUCCAAUAUCUAGUGGCUAGGAUUUGGCGUUUUCCCGGGUUCGAUUCCCGGUCAGGGAA